This 586-nucleotide long non-coding RNA is filed under the name Canis lupus familiaris (dog). RNAcentral's name for it is "lncRNA (ENSCAFG00000054117.1)". Lineage: Eukaryota; Metazoa; Chordata; Mammalia; Carnivora; Canidae. The record is from RNAcentral.
AUGGGGAGACUGGCUGGGCUAAGACAGGAAGGACCCCUUCAGGAUGUGCAUUAUGGCUGUGCUGACUGGACCCCGCUGACCUACAGUGAUGACAAGGGGCCCCAUUGUGGGUGGAACUGUGGCGCCUCAGGGUUCCACCGCUGCCUGGUGCUUACUCUGCGUCCGCAGGCAGGUGGAGGCACUCGUGCUCCGGAUCUGGCUCACAGCGCCCGAACUAUCCCACUCUCCCCAGUACCCCAGUGUAUAAAGUGUGAGUGCUCACACAGUGACAGGCCACAGGUGAGUGGGAGCUGCUCCCUGCUCCCCUCGGGCCACCGUGGGACCUGUGGGUCCGGGUGGGGGUGCUGGCCUCCGGGGCUGGGGUGAGAACACAGCGACCCCCAUGUGAUGAGAACAUGUUCUCAUUUUAUAAAGGAGACAUACAAUAAACCAGUAAAUAAUGAUAUGAACAAUUAACUCUAGAAGGAAAUACAUGACACAAUAAGUAUGAAGAAACUAUUCUAGAGAAGAGUGGUACUGACAACCUCUCCAAAGAAGCGCUAUUUGAGAGUGAGAGUGAAGUUUGAGAGAGAGUAGACCUUUGAAG